AGCGAACGCUGGCGGCAGGCCUAACACAUGCAAGUCGAGCGCCCAGCAAUGGGAGCGGCAGACGGGAUAGUAACACGUGGGAACGUACCUUUCAGUUCGGAACAACCCAGGGAAACUUGGGCUAAUACCGAAUACGUCCGUAAGGAGAAAGAUUUAUCGCUGAAAGAUCGGCCCGCGUCUGAUUAGCUAGUUGGUGAGGUAAUGGCUCACCAAGGCGACGAUCAGUAGCUGGCUGAGAGGAUGAUCAGCAUCACUGGGACUGAGACACGGCCCAGACUCCUACGGGAGGCAGCAGUGGGGAAUAUUGGACAAUGGGCGCAAGCCUGAUCCAGCCAUGCCGCGUGGAUGAUGAAGGCCUUAGGGUUGCAAAGUCCUUUCGGCGGGGAAGAUAAUGACGGUACCCGCAGAAGAAGCCCCGGCUAACUUCGUGCCAGCAGCCG
This 440-nucleotide ribosomal RNA is filed under the name uncultured bacterium. RNAcentral's name for it is "bacterial SSU rRNA". It matches the Rfam family "Bacterial small subunit ribosomal RNA", at positions 29 to 517 of the family's 1533-position model. The record is from RNAcentral.